Varroa destructor (honeybee mite) is the source of this 716-nucleotide long non-coding RNA. RefSeq lists it as uncharacterized. NCBI's taxonomy places the organism in Eukaryota, Metazoa, Arthropoda, Arachnida, Mesostigmata, Varroidae. The record is from RefSeq and is a predicted model, not a curated record.
GACAUGCACUGAGAACCUAGUUUAUUAGUAUCCAAUAUGAUUUUGCAUUCAACUGAUAGGUGUGCCUCUGCAGCAAUAGUUUGGCGCUUAUUGGGGUGAUCGUAUGAAGCUUGCAAACUAGAACAAUAACGCCAAAUAUCUGCUUGACCCUACGUUGCUCGUUUUGUCCCAUGUCAGAACGCCUGCAGUUGUUUUUUCUCGAUAGAUCACAAAGCUGACCGUUUGUUCCGCUAUCAUCGUCCCAAUGUUAUCUAGUAGCCCUACAUGGUCACUUGCGUAAGAACGCUUGUAAUACCGCGAUCAGAUUAUGUCAGUGGCAGGAUCGUGUUUGUCAGGUAAUGAGGAGUAUGAAAGUUCAAGAGUGGGAUCGGGAAGUAGCGGAUAGAGGUUACGGCGAAAUGAAGUCCAGCCAUAAGUUCCGAACUCGACACUGGGCUCGCAUUGAAUAUGCUUCAAAUUGGUGAUGUCCGGUCAUACGUAAAAUAGUAUAUAUGCGCGCGAAUGACUUGAACUACCUAGAUGUGGCCUCAGACAUCACGUUCAAGAUACAACACUUCUCAGAAGGAAAUUUUACCCUGUCUGCCAGCAGAGAAGUCUAUGUUCUCAUCUAUCGACCGAGGCCCGAAUUUUCGCGCCGUCAUCACCCCUGGAAUAGUACACUUCUGGGCCGGGAAGUUGGAUGCUGUUGGUUUGCGCAAAACAAACCCCAGUUUAGU